GACGAACGCUGGCGGCGUGCCUAAUACAUGCAAGUAGAACGCUGAAGGAGGAGCUUGCUUCUCUGGAUGAGUUGCGAACGGGUGAGUAACGCGUAGGUAACCUGCCUGGUAGCGGGGGAUAACUAUUGGAAACGAUAGCUAAUACCGCAUAACAGUAGAUAUCGCAUGAUAUCUACUUGAAAGGUGCAAUUGCAUCACUACCAGAUGGACCUGCGUUGUAUUAGCUAGUUGGUGAGGUAACGGCUCACCAAGGCGACGAUACAUAGCCGACCUGAGAGGGUGAUCGGCCACACUGGGACUGAGACACGGCCCAGACUCCUACGGGAGGCAGCAGUAGGGAAACUUCGGCAAUGGACGGAAGUCUGACCGAGCAACGCCGCGGGAGUGAAGAAGGUUUUCGGAUCGUAAAGCUCGGUUGUAAGAGAAGAACGAGUGUGAGAGUGGAAAGUUCACACUGUGACGGUAUCUUACCAGAAAGGGACGGCUAACUACGUG
This 495-nucleotide ribosomal RNA is filed under the name uncultured bacterium. Its description in RNAcentral is "partial 16S ribosomal RNA". It matches the Rfam family "Bacterial small subunit ribosomal RNA", at positions 28 to 507 of the family's 1533-position model. The record is from RNAcentral.